Molecule: ribosomal RNA, 497 nt
Filed under: uncultured bacterium
Lineage: Bacteria
Description: partial 16S ribosomal RNA
Rfam family: Bacterial small subunit ribosomal RNA
Source: RNAcentral
GAUGAACGCUGGCGGCGUGCCUAAUACAUGCAAGUCGAGCGAACAGACGAGGAGCUUGCUCCUCUGACGUUAGCGGCGGACGGGUGAGUAACACGUGGAUAACCUACCUAUAAGACUGGGAUAACUUCGGGAAACCGGAGCUAAUACCGGAUAAUAUAUUGAACCGCAUGGUUCAAUAGUGAAAGACGGUUUUGCUGUCACUUAUAGAUGGAUCCGCGCCGCAUUAGCUAGUUGGUAAGGUAACGGCUUACCAAGGCAACGAUGCGUAGCCGACCUGAGAGGGUGAUCGGCCCCCCUGGAACUGAGACACGGUCCAGACUCCUACGGGAGGCAGCAGUAGGGAAUCUUCCGCAAUGGGGGAAAGCCUGACGGAGCAACGCCGCGUGAGUGAUGAAGGUCUUCGGAUCGUAAAACUCUGUUAUUAGGGAAGAACAAAUGUGUAAGUAACUAUGCACGUCUUGACGGUACCUAAUCAGAAAGCCACGGCUAACUACGUG